This 512-nucleotide long non-coding RNA is filed under the name Canis lupus familiaris (dog). RNAcentral describes it as "lncRNA (ENSCAFG00845005858.1)". Lineage: Eukaryota; Metazoa; Chordata; Mammalia; Carnivora; Canidae. The record is from RNAcentral.
AUGAGAAAAAGCUCUGAUGUUCAUUGCCAUGAGGGAAUUGCCAUAUUGGCUUUUACAGGGAGAGGUUCCGUAUCUUUAGAAAUCCCCCCAGAACUAGAACUGACAGGAACGCAAGGCACAAGAGGCCAGUGGGUGCCAGACACAUCAUGCUAUCAACUCAUUUGGCCUGUGCUCAUGUUGUAUUCCAGAUGCCAGUGUGUGUACAUGUGUGUGUUUGUGCCCUGUGGAGUGAGCAGUGAGGGGCAAACAGCAAGAAAAAAAGGUGUCAUCCCACAUCACUGUCUCCCUCAUUUUUCAGGAAGUUCCCACUGCAGCAGAAACACAGAGAUUUGGAACAUGGACAUUUGUUGACUACUGUAGACAGCAUGGAAAAGUUCAACAUCAUAGAAUCUAAAGACCUGUGUGGACCUGGCCAAGCUGACCAAGUCCAGAGAAAAUGUCCCUUGAAGUAGGUAUAUUUUGGUAAGUAAGUGAUCUCAUAUCAAUCAGAUCUCUUUGUCUAAACUACUCUC